AGAGUUUGAUCAUGGCUCAGAAUCAACGCUGGCGGCGUGCCUAACACAUGCAAGUCGAGCGAGAAAAGGGGGGCAACUCCCUGAGUACAGCGGCGCACGGGUGAGUAACACGUGGGUAAUCUGCCCUGGAGUGGGGAAUAACACCGGGAAACCGGUGCUAAUACCGCAUACGAUCACGAUGUCUGCGGGCGUUGUGAUGAAAGGAGCAAUUCGCUCCAGGAGGAGCCCGCGGCUGAUUAGCUAGUUGGUGAGGUAAUGGCUCACCAAGGCAACGAUCAGUAUCCGGUCUGAGAGGACGGUCGGACACACUGGAACUGAGACACGGUCCAGACUCCUACGGGAGGCAGCAGUGGGGAAUUUUUGGCAAUGGGGGAAACCCUGACCAAGCAACGCCGCGUGGGUGAUGAAGUCUCUUGGGACGUAAAACCCUUUCGACGGGGAAGAAAACCGCAAGGUUUGACGGUACCCGUAGAAGAAGCCCCGGCUAACUCCGUGCCAGCAGCCGCGGUAAUACGGGGGGGGCAAGCGUUGUUCGGAAUUACUGGGCGUAAAGAGUGCGUAGGCGGUGCUCUAAGUCGGAUGUGAAAACUCUGGGCUCAACCCAGAGCCUGCAUCCGAAACUGGAGUGCUAGAGUUCUGGAGGGGGUAGCGGAAUUCCUGGUGUAGCGGUGAAAUGCGUAGAUAUCAGGAGGAACACCGGUGGCGAAGGCGGCUACCUGGACAGAGUCUGACGCUGAGGCACGAAAGCUAGGGGAGCAAACAGGAUUAGAUACCCUAGUAGUCC
RNAcentral lists this ribosomal RNA (784 nucleotides) under uncultured bacterium. RNAcentral describes it as "bacterial SSU rRNA". It matches the Rfam family "Bacterial small subunit ribosomal RNA", at positions 8 to 796 of the family's 1533-position model. The record is from RNAcentral.